This 484-nucleotide ribosomal RNA is filed under the name uncultured bacterium. RNAcentral describes it as "partial 16S ribosomal RNA". It matches the Rfam family "Bacterial small subunit ribosomal RNA", at positions 30 to 507 of the family's 1533-position model. The record is from RNAcentral.
AUUGAACGCUGGCGGCAGGCCUAACACAUGCGAGUCGAGCGGAUGAAGGGAGCUUGCUCCUGGAUUCAGCGGCGGACGGGUGAGUAAUGCCUAGGAAUCUGCCUGGUAGUGGGGGAUAACGUCCGGAAACGGGCGCUAAUACCGCAUACGUCCUGAGGGAGGAAGUGGGGGAUCUUCGGACCUCACGCUAUCAGAUGAGCCUAGGUCGGAUUAGCUAGUUGGUGGGGUGAAGGCCUACCAAGGCGACGAUCCGUAACUGGUCUGAGAGGAUGAUCAGUCACACUGGAAGUGGGACACGGUCAAGACUACUACGGGACGCAGCAGUGGGGAAUGUUGGGCAAUGGGCGGAAGUCUGAUACAGCCAUGCCGCGUGUGUGAAGAAGGUCUUCGGAUUGUAAAGACCUUUAAGUUGGGAGGAAGGGCAGUAAGUUAAUACCUUGCUGUUUUGACGUUACCAACAGAAUAAGCACCGGCUAACUUCGUG